AUGAAAUCAUGUCUAAUGCUUGUUAAUGUUUGCGUAAAACUCCAAAUGAUGCUGUCACUUCACCCAGUAUGUAAUAACACUGUUUGUGAACCUAACUGUGGUCCUUGUCUCACAACUCACCUCCAACUAAGCAAAGAUUUCUAUCAGGUAUGUGUGAAAUGCAGAGAAUGUCCGCACUGCUCAGGUGGUAUUGCACACCAGGUGAAUAAUCUAAGCGGGCUUUUGUCUUCCAGGAUUGAGGAAGAGGAAUGGGACAAAUACAUCGUCCCUUCCAAAACAGAGUCAGAAAAAUGCAAAGUCAGUCGCACGUUCAGCUUUAUAAAGAGCCGGAUGUAUAGCACUCGCAACAAGAACAAGGGGAGAGGAAAAGAGAGAGAGACCAAAGACAAACAGGUCAAUGGACAUCAGUUCACAGCUGGAUCUGUCCUGGGGUCGACACUUUGUGAGAUCUGCGGCAAGCCAGCUCCUGGGAAAGAGGUCCUCCACUGCACAUGUGAGCUUUGCGGUAGCCCAGAAGCAGAUAGUGACGCUCCCCCAUGGCAGAACAAUAUUCAACCAGAGGAGCUCCUCCAAACAUUGGAGUCCUCAACAUCCACUGAUUCUUCUCUUAUUGAAGACUCUGUAGAUUCCCCACUACAGAAUGAGCUGGUAAUGAAUGCUGUGGAUUUGGAGGCGGAGUCAUGGAGUCUAGCGGUAGAGCCCCAGUUCUGUAAGAUGCAAGAAAAACGCAUCGUCAAGAGACAGGAUGUCAUCUACGAGUUCAUGCAGACCGAGCUCCAUCACGUACAGACGCUCGUGAUAAUGGCGGAGGUCUUCAGGCGGGGAAUGCGGGAAGAAGUCGGACUGGAUGCGGACACUAUUGAUCGGAUUUUCCCUUGCUUAGAUGAGCUGCUUCUCCUCCACCGUGACUUCCUUUCAGCGAUGAAGGAACGGCGGCAAAGCUGCAUUCAGCCCAACAGCCGCAAGAACUACCUCAUCCACCAUGUGGGUGACAUCUUUCUGCAACAGUUCUCCCAGGAAAAUGCAGAGAAGAUGAAGCAGGUGUAUGGCGAGUUUUGCAGUCACCACACAGAAGCGGUCAGCUACUUCAAAGAGCUUCAGCAGCAGAAUAAGAGAUUUCAGCUCUUCAUCAGAGUGAGAAGUAGCAACUCCUUGGUAAAAAGACGAGAAAUCCCAGAAUGCAUCUUGCUAGUGACGCAGAGAAUUACAAAGUAUCCCGUCCUCCUGGAAAGAAUCCUGCAAUAUACAGAGGAGGGCACAGAAGAGCAUGCUGACCUCUCCUGUGCACUAGUCCUGAUCCGAGAGCUGAUCUCCGCUGUGGACCAGUGCGUGAGUCAGUGCGAGCAGAACCAGAAGCUGAGUGAGGUCCUGGGCCGCAUGGAGAACAAGUGCUCAACUAAACUGAAGAGUGGAAACCCCUUCCGCAAGCAGGACAUCACCAGUGGCAGAGCUCUGCUGCACCAGGGCCCUCUGCUCUGGAAGACAGCCACAGGAAGACUGAAAGAUGUUCUGGCGUUUUUGCUGUCUGAUUCAUUGGUGUUCCUUCAGGAGAAAGAUCAGAAAUACAUCUUUGCUGCUGUGGACCAGAAGCCUCCGGUGAUCUCUCUGCAGAAGCUGAUUGUGCGUGAGGUGGCCAAUGAGGAGAGAGGCAUGUUUCUGAUCAGCGCGUCUUCAGCUGGUCCUGAGAUGUAUGAGGUGCACGCUGCUUCUAAAGAUGAACGAAAUGCCUGGAUGAGACUCAUCAGAGAGGCUGUGGAGAGUUGCCCUGAAGAGGAGGAUGAAACCACAAGUGAGUCAGAAGAGGAAAAGAGAGUCACAGAGGCAAAGGUCCAAAAGAUCCACAGGCUAAAAGAAUCUUUGUGUGGCCACGAUCACCUCAUCUGUGCAAAUCUGGAGGAGAAGCUACACAUCUAUCAUAUCAUGGCAGGAGAAAGUGAGACAGGACCAGAGCCCAGACUGCUGGUCCGGCCCAGCACUGAAGACAUCCCUCAGGCUGGAGUACUGCUCAGCGCUGCUCUUAUAGAGGGUGAGAGUCCAACGAGGGAAGCAUAUCCAUAUUUACAUUACCAUUCAAAACAGUGCAGUUUUUUUUUUUUAUUCAGCAAGGAUUCAUUAAACUGGGCAGAUGUGACUGUUUAUUUUGGAGUUGUUCACUUUGUCACUCAUUGUUUGUUUGUUGUCUUAAUGCAGGUGAGUCAGAGUGUGCAGAGCUUGACUCAGCUGCUGUAUAGUCUACAGGCCGCAGUCACCAUCCAAGACAGUUGCUAUGAAGUCCAGAGGCUCCUCCUCUUCCUGUUAGCAAGCCCCUCCCCUCACCAACACUCCCGCCCACUGCCCAUCACUCGCAGCAACCAGACCCUGCAGGAGCAGGAGCGUCAGCGGGAGGUGGAGCGCCGGCGAGAGGAGCUGGCGGAUGUGGCCCGUCUACGGGGCGCCCUGGUACGAGAGCGUCAGCAGUGGGAACGGGAGAGCCAGGUGAGGCAGCUUCAGCAGUCAGACCUGGAGGCAUCACUGGAGCAGAGGGAGGUGGUGUGCCACCUAGAGGAGCGGAGACUACAGAGUGAGCAGCAGGAGCUCCAAGAGCAGCUGCAGGAGUACCAGCAAAGCCUGGAGAGGCUGCAAGAAGGCCAGAGAAGUGUGGAAAAGGAGAAGGAGAAGCUGGAUGCCCAGCGGAGGCUGCUGGACAGUUUGAGGCAGGGCUACCAGCAGAACCUCCCAGCUAUGGUGAUACCACUGGAUGGACAGCAGACACAGGUGAUCAUCAUGGGAUGGGAUGGAAAUGUAUGGUCUGCGUUGAUGUAG
This is a long non-coding RNA of Carassius auratus (goldfish), 2802 nucleotides long. The record is from Ensembl. NCBI's taxonomy places the organism in Eukaryota, Metazoa, Chordata, Actinopteri, Cypriniformes, Cyprinidae.